This 253-nucleotide ribosomal RNA is filed under the name uncultured bacterium. Its description in RNAcentral is "partial 16S ribosomal RNA". It matches the Rfam family "Bacterial small subunit ribosomal RNA", at positions 524 to 776 of the family's 1533-position model. The record is from RNAcentral.
UACGGAAGGGGCAAGCGUUGUUCGGAAUCAUUGGGCGUAAAGGGCGCGUAGGUGGUUCUGUAUGUCUAUCGUGAAAGCGUACGGCUCAACCGUAUUUUGUCGGUAGAAACUGCAGGACCUGAGGCUGGGAGGGGCUGGUGGAAUUCCCUGUGUAGCGGUGAAAUGCGUAGAGAUGGGGGAGAACACUCGUGGCGAAGGCGGCCAGCUAGACCAGUUCUGACACUGAGGCGCGACAGAGUGGGGAGCAAACAGG